RNAcentral lists this ribosomal RNA (482 nucleotides) under Stenotrophomonas maltophilia. RNAcentral describes it as "bacterial SSU rRNA". It matches the Rfam family "Bacterial small subunit ribosomal RNA", at positions 8 to 475 of the family's 1533-position model. The record is from RNAcentral. Lineage: Bacteria; Pseudomonadati; Pseudomonadota; Gammaproteobacteria; Lysobacterales; Lysobacteraceae.
AGAGUUUGAUCCCUGGCUCAGAGUGAUCGCUGGCGGUAGGCCUAACACAUGCAAGUCGAACGGCAGCACAGUAAGAGCUUGCUCUUAUGGGUGGCGAGUGGCGGACGGGUGAGGAAUACAUCGGAAUCUACUUUUUCGUGGGGGAUAACGUAGGGAAACUUACGCUAAUACCGCAUACGACCUACGGGUGAAAGCAGGGGAUCUUCGGACCUUGCGCGAUUGAAUGAGCCGAUGUCGGAUUAGCUAGUUGGCGGGGUAAAGGCCCACCAAGGCGACGAUCCGUAGCUGGUCUGAGAGGAUGAUCAGCCACACUGGAACUGAGACACGGUCCAGACUCCUACGGGAGGCAGCAGUGGGGAAUAUUGGACAAUGGGCGCAAGCCUGAUCCAGCCAUACCGCGUGGGUGAAGAAGGCCUUCGGGUUGUAAAGCCCUUUUGUUGGGAAAGAAAUCCAGCUGGUUAAUAACCCGGUUGGGAUGACGG